UACGGCUACAUCAUGUUGAAACACCGCUUCCGUACGAUCACCGACGUUAAGCAACUUCAAGCCUGGUCAGUACCUAGAUUGGGUGACUGCCUGGGAAUACUAGAUGCUGUAA
Molecule: non-coding RNA, 112 nt
Organism: Acanthosepion pharaonis
Lineage: Eukaryota; Metazoa; Mollusca; Cephalopoda; Sepiida; Sepiidae
Source: the annotation of a GenBank genome assembly